GCCUUCGUGGUGUACUGGUCAGCACGCUCGACGUGUAACUGAGAGAUCCGUGGUUCGAUUCCCGCCGAAGACG
Molecule: non-coding RNA, 73 nt
Organism: Stegodyphus mimosarum
Lineage: Eukaryota; Metazoa; Arthropoda; Arachnida; Araneae; Eresidae
Source: Rfam